RNAcentral lists this ribosomal RNA (499 nucleotides) under uncultured bacterium. RNAcentral describes it as "partial 16S ribosomal RNA". It matches the Rfam family "Bacterial small subunit ribosomal RNA", at positions 355 to 870 of the family's 1533-position model. The record is from RNAcentral.
UGGGGAAUAUUGGACAAUGGGGGCAACCCUGAUCCAGCAAUGCCGCGUGUGUGAAGAAGGUCUUCGGAUUGUAAAGCACUUUCGACGGGGACGAUGAUGACGGUACCCGUAGAAGAAGCCCCGGCUAACUUCGUGCCAGCAGCCGCGGUAAUACGAAGGGGGCUAGCGUUGCUCGGAAUGACUGGGCGUAAAGGGCGUGUAGGCGGUUUACACAGUCAGAUGUGAAAUCCCCGGGCUUAACCUGGGAGCUGCAUUUGAUACGUGUAGACUAGAGUGUGAGAGAGGGUUGUGGAAUUCCCAGUGUAGAGGUGAAAUUCGUAGAUAUUGGGAAGAACACCGGUGGCGAAGGCGGCAACCUGGCUCAUGACUGACGCUGAGGCGCGAAAGCGUGGGGAGCAAACAGGAUUAGAUACCCUGGUAGUCCACGCCUGUAAACGAUGUGUGCUAGAUGUUGGGUAACUUUGUUAUUCAGUGUCGCAGUUAACGCGUUAAGCACACC